UGAGCUUGAGGUCAGGACCUGAACUGAAAUCCAGAGUCGGAUGCUUGACCGACUGAGCCACCCGGGCACCCCUAGACUCCUUAUUUUAAAAUGAGGUGGGCACAAACAAUAUUUAUUCAGUUAAAAACCACUUUUCAUCUAGUAAGAUAAAUGAAUUCACGACAGAUUAAAAUAACGUGGAACCUGAAAAGUGCCUUGAAAGGUAUUCAGAGUGUCUUCCGACACUGGACGUACACAAACCCUAUGUCCCUGGGGUCCUGCUCCCAGUUCCUUAUGCAGCAGAAAUGCAUUCACCGGUUCACCAGAAGCCAUGGACCAGAAUGUUCACCGCAGCACUGGAAAGUGGCCAAAUGCCCAUCAACAGUGCAAUGAAGAAAUGAGCUGUGAUAUAUUCACAUGACGCGAUAUGAUACAGCAAUGACAAUGAACAAUACAGCGAGUCCCACAAACAAUGCCAAUAAACACAUGAAGGAAGCCAUUUGCAAGAGUACGCUUGGAUUCCAUUCAGAUGAAUAGAAACAGAGUAAACUAAGCCAUACAGGUUACAUGGGUGUACUGAGUUUUUGAACACUGACCUGUGCAAAUUCACGUUCUUUUCUCAAUGUACGUCGCCCUGAAAGGUGUUAAAAAAUGGCACAUAAAGUGGCUUUAGCAGGAAAAGAAGUUGAAUCUGAUUUAGAAGAAAGAGAAGUGGCAUCAGGAAGCUUUCCAGAGAACGACGCUGUUCAGUGGAAGGAGCAGGAGUUUGGGGAGGGACGGCAAAUCCUACCCUGUGGCGUUGCCGGGGACAUGAGGAACACUGUGUAAAGUGCCAGGCACAUGCCGGGGCCUGCAGAGGCCGGAUUGAUGACGGCUGUUGCCAUCGGUAGACCAGCCGACAUUCCUGCAGAGCCAUGAGAAACGCCUGGGAUUCAGACAGGCGGGGAGUGACAGCGGUGCGACAUUAACAAAACCGAACACGGCUUUGAGAGAUGGUUGGGCUCGGGGCAGGGCAGGUGUGUGUGGGGAGGCACCGCCACCAUGGACUUUGCCUGUCCCGUGCCCCGCCCCCCCCCCCCCCCCCCCCCCCCCCGCCCCCGGGCCUGGGCUUGGCCUACAGCAGGCACUCGUUCGUAUUUGGCUGGAUCGAACGAGCAGUUGAAAGAAUGAGGGAGGAACAGUGGAAGGGAAUGGGAGUUGGGGACCCUGUGGUGGACACUUGGGCAUGUCGGGCUGAUAAGUUCUACUUAACUUCUACACAUGAAGCACUGCAAGCGGGAGGUGGUCUGAAACUGUUAAAGGCAGAGGGCUCGCCCCAGAGCGGCACUCGUCAGUGGUGGCAGGAACAGUCCCACCCUGUUACCUGCCUACGUGAGGGAAGUGCAGACACAGACGAAGCAGCCUGAAAGGCGAGCAGCAGUUUGACAGACCGGUCAAGCUUUAUCUUUUUGAAUCUGAUUUAAAAUAAUGGGCUCGCACUGUGUACUUUUUGCUUUGUACAAGAUCUCUAAUGAAACUAAUGUCACUGUACAGGUCCUCGUUGGAUUGGGAUGUAGGAACAGGAACGGGGCUUCGCCCCCAGGUAGUUGGGAAAGAGCACUGAACCGGAGGCUGAACGUGAGAGGCUGUUCUCCGGUCCCCACCAGUCUGGUUGGGAAGUCCCGUGUGCUCAGCAAGCUGGGAGCCCCCUGCCUGCCCGAGGCUCCCCUGUUCUGACGCACCAGCAGAUGAGAACACCCCGGUCAUUGUCCUGGGCGGGACUCCAUGGAUGGUUGAUUUCACUCUCCCAGACCUGACUCUGCCUGCUGGUAACUGACAACCCCUGUGUGUGCAAACAGGGGAGCCGCUGGGGAGCCUGCUGUGUGUCCCACUGAAUAUGUGCCUGAAGAGGGGCAUUGACUCGGCGACUGUCUUUCCACAAGAAGGGGUUCCAGUCAGCAGGGAGCCCCUCAUUCCUCUGCUAAGUGCUGUUUCCCAAACUCUGAUCAUCUGAACACACUGGAGACAAAGGAGGGGUCAUUGCUCCUCACCAGAGUUGGGGAACAGUUUGUAGCAGUCUCCUCUUCCUGGGGUUCCCUCUGUGAGCAUACAUGAUUAAAAUAAAAUUCAGUAAAAAAAACAAAAACGAAAACAGACAAAAAAAAAACAAAGAACAACAACAAAAAAAAACCGAAGAUGCUUUGUCCAGACCCCUUCUGGUUGCACGUGAGAGAAAACCAAACCCCAAAUGAUGUCAAAGGGAAUUCAAUCAUGUAAUUGAAAACUCCAGAGUCACAAUCGUUCUAUCUCGUCACAAUCAUUUUUUCAAAUACAAAAGUCCUAGGUCACAAUCUUCUGUGAAUGUAGAAAGGAUGAUACCCAGAGCCCUGGAGGAUGAGGCACGCUGGAUCUCCUAGACAGUUUAAAGUUUUACCUGCCCUAGUAGGUAAAACCUACUUACCUGGCACCUUACUCCCUGUCUCAUGGGAACAUUUACUCCCACCUCCCACUUCCCGUUUGCUCAUCCUGCUCCCAUUUUGUCUGCUGACUUUAUCCCAUGCUGCAGGAGUAGGCAUGUGGUCCAAGGUUGGCCAAUCAGAACAUUGUGCAAACUUCUGGCCACAGGGAUUGGAUCCACGCUGGGCAUGUGACCCAAACCAAGCUAAUCAGGUCAAGCUGGAGUUAAUCUUGCCUGCUGGCUUGUGUGGUCAGAGCAGAGAAUGGUCUCCUUUUCACCAGAGUUUGAGGUGUUGGCAGCCAUCUUGCCACCAUGAGGGCAGAGCUGGUCUGAGAGGAACACCAUCAGAGGAGGAAACAACAGGAGAUAGAAGCCAGAUCAUGAUGCUAUAGAUCCUACCUCCUGGAUCCACUUGUGUCUGAAGCAAGGAUAGCUCUGGAUUAGCAAAUACUGUUCAUAAGCUUUUUUUGCACCGUUUGAGACUGGGUUUUUGUCACAUGCAGCCAAAAGAGUCUUGAGCGGGCAUCUCGAUUUUAUAUUUUAAUUACUUUUCUGUCAUUUCCGCCUUAAAUAAAGGAUGCUCAACAUAA
Long non-coding RNA from Leopardus geoffroyi (Geoffroy's cat), 3006 nucleotides. RefSeq lists it as uncharacterized. The record is from RefSeq and is a predicted model, not a curated record. The transcript is spliced from 2 exons. NCBI's taxonomy places the organism in Eukaryota, Metazoa, Chordata, Mammalia, Carnivora, Felidae.